RNAcentral lists this ribosomal RNA (253 nucleotides) under uncultured bacterium. RNAcentral's name for it is "partial 16S ribosomal RNA". It matches the Rfam family "Bacterial small subunit ribosomal RNA", at positions 524 to 776 of the family's 1533-position model. The record is from RNAcentral.
UACGGAGGGUGCGAGCGUUGUUCGGAAUCACUGGGCGUAAAGCGCGUGUAGGCGGCCCAUUAAGUCUGAUGUGAAAGCCCGGGGCUCACCCCCGGAAGUGCAUUGGGAACUGAUGGACUCGAGUCCCGGAGAGGAGAGUGGAAUUCCUGGUGUAGCGGUGAAAUGCGUAGAUAUCAGGAGGAACACCGGUGGCGAAGGCGGCUCUCUGGACGGUGACUGACGCUGAGACGCGAAAGCGUGGGGAGCAAACAGG